CCUACGGGAGGCAGCAGUAGGGAAUCUUCCACAAUGGGCGAAAGCCUGAUGGAGCAACGCCGCGUGGGUGAAGAAGGUCUUCGGAUCGUAAAACCCUGUUGUUAGAGAAGAAAGUGCGUGAGAGUAACUGUUCACGUUUCGACGGUAUCUAACCAGAAAGCCACGGCUAACUACGUGCCAGCAGCCGCGGUAAUACGUAGGUGGCAAGCGUUAUCCGGAUUUAUUGGGCGUAAAGGGAACGCAGGCGGUCUUUUAAGUCUGAUGGGAAAGCCUUCGGCUUAACCGGAGUAGUGCAUUGGAAACUGGGAGACUUGAGUGCAGAAGGGGAGAGUGGAACUCCAUGUGUAGCGGUGAAAUGCGUAGAUAUAUGGAAGAACACCAGUGGCGAAAGCGGCUCUCUGGUCUGUAACUGACGCUGAGGUUCGAAAGUGUGGGUAGCAAACAGGAUUAGAUACCCCUGUAGUC
This 465-nucleotide ribosomal RNA is filed under the name uncultured bacterium. RNAcentral describes it as "partial 16S ribosomal RNA". It matches the Rfam family "Bacterial small subunit ribosomal RNA", at positions 338 to 795 of the family's 1533-position model. The record is from RNAcentral.